RNAcentral lists this small nuclear RNA (192 nucleotides) under Hymenolepis diminuta. RNAcentral describes it as "U2 spliceosomal RNA". It matches the Rfam family "U2 spliceosomal RNA". From Rfam's summary of the family: U2 is a small nuclear RNA (snRNA) component of the spliceosome (involved in pre-mRNA splicing). Complementary binding between U2 snRNA (in an area lying towards the 5' end but 3' to hairpin I) and the branchpoint sequence (BPS) of the intron results the bulging out of an unpaired adenosine, on the BPS, which initiates a nucleophilic attack at the intronic 5' splice site, thus starting the first of two transesterification reactions that mediate splicing. The record is from Rfam by way of RNAcentral. Lineage: Eukaryota; Metazoa; Platyhelminthes; Cestoda; Cyclophyllidea; Hymenolepididae.
AUCGCUUCAUGGAUCUCUAGGCUAAGAUCAUGUUUGGUCGCUGUUCUUUGCAGUGUAAUUUCUGCAACGGUUAUAAUUUGGGACCAGUCAAAUUAUCCGUUUUUUUCAACCAAGACGAGUGCUAUGAGCUUGGUUAACCCUAUCUACAGGUCGGCCCUGUAUUGCAUUGCCUCGAGGAUUGGUCCCUUCAUU